UACAGAGGGUGCGAGCGUUGUCCGGAAUCACUGGGCGUAAAGGGCGCGUAGGCGGCUUGGUAAGUCGGGGGUGAAACGCUGCGGCUCAACCGCAGCACUGCCUUCGAGACUGUCAGGCUUGAGCACGGUAGAGGCUGGUGGAAUUCCGGGUGUAGCGGUGGAAUGCGUAGAGAUCCGGAAGAACACCGGUGGCGAAGGCGGCCUGCUGGGCAGUAGCUGACGCUGAGGCGCGACAGCGUGGGGAGCAAACAGG
This 253-nucleotide ribosomal RNA is filed under the name uncultured bacterium. RNAcentral's name for it is "partial 16S ribosomal RNA". It matches the Rfam family "Bacterial small subunit ribosomal RNA", at positions 524 to 776 of the family's 1533-position model. The record is from RNAcentral.